CCCCUGUGGAUUUUGUUAAAAUCCAGAUUCUGGUUCCAUAGGCCUGGAGUGGGGCCUGAGAGUCUGCAUUUCUGACAAGUUCGCAGGUGAUGCCA
RNAcentral lists this microRNA precursor (95 nucleotides) under Loxodonta africana (African savanna elephant). Its description in RNAcentral is "miRNA (ENSLAFG00000032623.1)". Lineage: Eukaryota; Metazoa; Chordata; Mammalia; Proboscidea; Elephantidae. The record is from RNAcentral.